GCCCCUAUGGCGGAAUUGGUAGACGCGUCAGACUCAAAAUCUGAUUCCUGUAUGGGAGUGGGAGUUCGAUUCUCUUUGGGGGCACCA
RNAcentral lists this transfer RNA (87 nucleotides) under Alphaproteobacteria bacterium. RNAcentral's name for it is "tRNA-Leu". It matches the Rfam family "tRNA". Rfam says of the family: Transfer RNA (tRNA) molecules are approximately 80 nucleotides in length. Their secondary structure includes four short double-helical elements and three loops (D, anti-codon, and T loops). Further hydrogen bonds mediate the characteristic L-shaped molecular structure. tRNAs have two regions of fundamental functional importance: the anti-codon, which is responsible for specific mRNA codon recognition, and the 3' end, to which the tRNAs corresponding amino acid is attached (by aminoacyl-tRNA synthetases). tRNAs cope with the degeneracy of the genetic code in two manners: having more than one tRNA (with a specific anti-codon) for a particular amino acid; and 'wobble' base-pairing, i.e. permitting non-standard base-pairing at the 3rd anti-codon position. The record is from RNAcentral. Lineage: Bacteria; Pseudomonadati; Pseudomonadota; Alphaproteobacteria.